RNAcentral lists this ribosomal RNA (551 nucleotides) under Stachybotrys cylindrospora. RNAcentral describes it as "eukaryotic LSU rRNA". The stretch from base 165 to 318 matches the Rfam family "5.8S ribosomal RNA". The record is from RNAcentral. Lineage: Eukaryota; Fungi; Ascomycota; Sordariomycetes; Hypocreales; Stachybotryaceae.
GGAUCAUUACCGAGUUAACAACUCCCAAACCCCAUGUGAACCUAUACCAAAACGUUGCUUCGGCGGGAGCGCCCCGGCUCAGCCCGGAAGCAGGCGCCCGCCGAGGACCCCCUAAACCAUGCUUUCUACAGUUUCUUCUGAGUGGCAAACGCAAAAUAAAUUAAAACUUUUAACAACGGAUCUCUUGGCUCUGGCAUCGAUGAAGAACGCAGCGAAAUGCGAUAAGUAAUGUGAAUUGCAGAAUUCAGUGAAUCAUCGAAUCUUUGAACGCACAUUGCGCCCGCCGGCAUUCCGGCGGGCAUGCCUGUCCGAGCGUCAUUUCAACCCUCAGGGUCCUCCGCCUAGCGCGGCCGGGCCUGGUGUUGGGGAUCGGCCCCGCCCCGCGGGGCGCCGUCCCCUAAAAUCAGUGGCGGUCCCGCCGCAGCCUCCCCUGCGCAGUAGUUACCAACUCGCACUGGAGCGCGGCGCGGCCACGCCGUAAAACCCCCGACUUCUGGAAAGUUGACCUCGGAUCAGGUAGGAAUACCCGCUGAACUUAAGCAUAUCAAUAA